CCUACGGGCGGCAGCAGUGGGGAAUAUUGCACAAUGGGGGAAACCCUGAUGCAGCGACGCCGCGUGAGUGAAGAAGUAAUUCGUUAUGUAAAGCUCUAUCAGCAGGGAAGCAAAUGACGGUACCUGUGUAAGAAGCCCCGGCUAACUACGUGCCAGCAGCCGCGGUAAUACGUAGGGGGCAAGCGUUAUCCGGAUUUACUGGGUGUAAAGGGAGCGUAGACGGCAGUGCAAGUCUGGAGUGAAAGGCGGGGGCUCAACCCCCGGACUGCUGUGGAAACUGUACGGCUGGAGUGCAGGAGAGGUAAGUGGAAUGCCUAGUGUAGCGGUGAAAUGCGUAGAUAUUAGGAGGAACACCAGUGGCGAAGGCGGCUUACUGGACUGUAACUGACGUUGAGGCUCGAAAGCGUGGGGAGCAAACAGGAUUAGAUACCCCUGUAGUC
This 440-nucleotide ribosomal RNA is filed under the name uncultured bacterium. Its description in RNAcentral is "partial 16S ribosomal RNA". It matches the Rfam family "Bacterial small subunit ribosomal RNA", at positions 338 to 795 of the family's 1533-position model. The record is from RNAcentral.